This is a long non-coding RNA of Oncorhynchus keta (chum salmon), 867 nucleotides long. RefSeq lists it as uncharacterized. Lineage: Eukaryota; Metazoa; Chordata; Actinopteri; Salmoniformes; Salmonidae. The transcript has 2 exons. The record is from RefSeq and is a predicted model, not a curated record.
CUGACCCUCCACUAUGGCCCGCUGCCCCAGGCCUACAUGUCAGACUGACCCUCCACUAUGGCCCGCUGCCAUCCAGGCCUACAUGUCAGACUGACCCUCCACUAUGGCCCGCUGCCAUCCAGGCCUACAUGUCAGACUGACCCUCCACUAUGGCCCGCUGCCAUCCAGGCCUACAUGUCAGACUGACACUCCACUAUGGCCCGCUGCCAUCCAGGCCUACAUGUCAGACUGACCCUCCACUAUGGCCCGCUGCCAUCCAGGCCUACAUGUCAGACUGACCCUCCACUAUGGCCCGCUGCCAUCCAGGCCUACAUGUCAGACUGACCCUCCACUAUGGCCCGCUGCCAUCCAGGCCUACAUGUCAGACUGACCCUCCACUAUGGCCCGCUGCCAUCCAGGCCUACAUGUCAGACUGACCCUCCACUAUGGCCCGCUGCCAUCCAGGCCUACAUGUCAGACUGACACUCCACUAUGGCCCGCUGCCAUCCAGGCCUACAUGUCAGACUGACACUCUACUAUGGCCCGCUGCCAUCCAGGCCUACAUGUCAGACUGACACUCCACUAUGGCAUGGCUUAGAGCUGGGACAAUAAACCAAAAAAUUAUGGAUACUGACCGACCCAGUGAUUUAUCGUGGACAUUUUUACUGAUAUCGAUAGUAACGAUAAGUCGUUUUUACUUGAGAAAUGUGAAGUUUGCUCGGGCUAUUUCAAACAAUUUAUAGCUACAACAUUCAAAAUAGUAGAUGUUUUAAGGGAAAUAUAAAGAAAUAACUGGUGCACACCACACUGGUAUUCCUGAUUCUAUGGGUCUGAGAGAGUUGUGCUCCACGGUUUUCUAUUUCUGUGUAUGUUUUCUUUGUUGAUCAG